Diorhabda sublineata is the source of this 860-nucleotide long non-coding RNA. RefSeq lists it as uncharacterized. NCBI's taxonomy places the organism in Eukaryota, Metazoa, Arthropoda, Insecta, Coleoptera, Chrysomelidae. The record is from RefSeq and is a predicted model, not a curated record. The transcript has 2 exons.
UAUAAGUAGUUUUUCACAAUAAGUGUACAAAGAACUGAUAAAAUUAUUACAAAUCAAUUGCACAUUAUCAUAUCCUUUGUACGUUAACUGAUAUUUCUUCAUUCAAUCGCCGUUUAAUUCUAGUUUAAUUAUUUUAUUAUAGAUUAUUAACUUUUUUUACCUAUUCAAUUGUCGGCGAUAGCAAGCUGAAUAAAAAAACAUUAUUUGUUGUAAAUGAGAAAACUAGGUCGAAACGAAAGUGACUAUAACAGGUUUCUAGUAGCUAGUAGAUGCGGUUUACAUAAGAUAUGUUCGUUAGUGUUAAUGGAAUGUGGUGGUAAUUUCCAGCUUUGUUGACACACGUUCAGUUUUAUCUGACAGUUCAAAUGAACAUUUUAUUUUUGAGAUAUAUGCUAUUAACGUUAACAACGGGGGCACUACAGAGGGUUGCCUCGAUUGGGGUCACCAAAUUCCCCAAUGGUUCCAGCUGCUAUUACAUUUCUCAGUAGUCUGCUCGCUGAACAAACUAGAAAGAUAUAUAGAAGCAUCUGGUAUAAGAUAAGAUAAAGCACUCAGCCUUCUGCCUGUUCCACCAUUCAAAUGCAUAACAUGCAACUGUCAUUUCCUUGUAGACACCCAGAACUUUGAUUUAUCGGGAUUCAUUUCUUUGGAGAAGCGCAAGCCUAUCAGCUACCAAGGAAAGCUGUACAUCAGAUAACUCUGGAUAGAAUUAAGACAAUGAUAGGAAUUAAGUUGCGUUUAUGAUGAAUAUUUGAGAUAAUUAUAUGAAUAUAAGAUAAAAAUUACUUUCUGGGAUGUUAAAUUUCAUAAUCUCUAGAUGACAAAUAUUUAUUAUGGUGGCAAAUAAAUUUAUUAUCCUA